UUAAGUUAAUAAGGGCGCACGGUGGAUGCCUUGGCACUAGAAGCCGAUGAAGGACGUGACUAACGACGAAAUGCUUUGGGGAGCUGUAAGUGAGCAAUGAUCCAGAGAUGUCCGAAUGGGGGAACCCGGCAGGUUAUGCCUGUCACUCAUUACUGUUAAGGUAAUGUAGAGGAAGACGCAGUGAACUGAAACAUCUAAGUAGCUGCAGGAAGAGAAAGCAAAAGCGAUUGCCUUAGUAGCGGCGAGCGAAACGGCAAGAGGGCAAACCGAAGAGUUUACUCUUCGGGGUUGUAGGACUGCAACGUGGACUUAAAGAUUAUAGAAGAACUACCUGGGAAGGUAGGCCAAAGAGAGUAAUAGCCUCGUAUUCGAAAUAGUCUUUAUACCUAGCAGUAUCCUGAGUACGGCGAGACACGAGAAAUCUCGUCGGAAUCUGGGAGGACCAUCUCCCAACCCUAAAUACUCUCUAGUGACCGAUAGUGAACCAGUACCGUGAGGGAAAGGUGAAAAGCACCCCGGGAGGGGAGUGAAAUAGAACCUGAAACCGUGUGCCUACAACAAGUUCGAGCCCGUUAAUGGGUGAGAGCGUGCCUUUUGUAGAAUGAACCGGCGAGUUACGAUAUGAUGCGAGGUUAAGUUGAAGAGACGGAGCCGUAGGGAAACCGAGUCUUAAUAGGGCGCAUUAGUAUCAUGUCGUAGACCCGAAACCAUGUGACCUACCCAUGAGCAGGUUGAAGGUGAGGUAAAACUCACUGGAGGACCGAACCAGGGCACGUUGAAAAGUGCUUGGAUGACUUGUGGGUAGCGGAGAAAUUCCAAACGAACUUGGAGAUAGCUGGUUCUCUCCGAAAUAGCUUUAGGGCUAGCGUCGAUGUUAAGUCUCUUGGAGGUAGAGCACUGUUUGGGUGAGGGGUCCAUCCCGGAUUACCAAUCUCAGAUAAACUCCGAAUGCCAACGAGAUAUAAUCGGCAGUCAGACUGCGAGUGCUAAGAUCCGUAGUCGAAAGGGAAACAGCCCAGACCACCAGCUAAGGUCCCAAAAUAAUUGUUAAGUGGAAAAGGAUGUGGGGUUGCACAGACAACUAGGAUGUUAGCUUAGAAGCAGCUAUUCAUUCAAAGAGUGCGUAAUAGCUCACUAGUCGAGUGACCCUGCGCCGAAAAUGUACCGGGGCUAAAACAUAUUACCGAAGCUGUGGAUACCUUUAUAGGUAUGGUAGGAGAGCGUUCUAUGUGCGAAGAAGGUGUACCGUGAGGAGUGCUGGAGCGCAUAGAAGUGAGAAUGCCGGUAUGAGUAGCGAAAGACAGGUGAGAAUCCUGUCCACCGUAAGACUAAGGUUUCCAGGGGAAGGUUCGUCCGCCCUGGGUUAGUCGGGACCUAAGGAGAGACCGAAAGGUGUAUCCGAUGGACAACAGGUUGAUAUUCCUGUACUAGAGUAUAUAGUGAUGGAGGGACGCAGUAGGCUAACUAAACCAGACGAUUGGAAGUGUCUGGCCAAGCAGUGAGGUGUGAUAUGAGUCAAAUGCUUAUAUCUAUAACAUUGAGCUGUGAUGGGGAGCGAAGUUUAGUAGCGAAGUUAGUGAUGUCACACUGCCGAGAAAAGCUUCUAGCGUUAAUUAUACUCUACCCGUACCGCAAACCGACACAGGUAGUCGAGGCGAGUAGCCUCAGGUGAGCGAGAGAACUCUCGUUAAGGAACUCGGCAAAAUGGCCCCGUAACUUCGGGAGAAGGGGCGCUGACUUAUGGUCAGCCGCAGUGAAUAGGCCCAAGCAACUGUUUAUCAAAAACACAGCUCUCUGCUAAAUCGUAAGAUGAUGUAUAGGGGGUGACGCCUGCCCGGUGCUGGAAGGUUAAGAGGAGUGCUUAGCGUAAGCGAAGGUAUGAAUUGAAGCCCCAGUAAACGGCGGCCGUAACUAUAACGGUCCUAAGGUAGCGAAAUUCCUUGUCGGGUAAGUUCC
This 1956-nucleotide ribosomal RNA is filed under the name human gut metagenome. RNAcentral's name for it is "bacterial LSU rRNA". It matches the Rfam family "Bacterial large subunit ribosomal RNA", at positions 3 to 1984 of the family's 2925-position model. The record is from RNAcentral.